UGUGCUUGAUGGUGAAGUCUCUGGUUUAAAGUGCAUAACAGCUUGAUAUUGUACUAUGGAGUCUGAGUAGAGAGUAUUAUAUUUUCCUCCACUUAAAGAAGAACAGAGCAAUGGUGCUAUAUAAAACACUUCAGUGAAUUUUAUGCUUUAAAGAGUUAUUUGUUGAUCGUGAAAGGGCCCCAUAGGUGUAUGUAUAACUCACUACCUUAGACCAAGCCACUUGCAGUCCCCCUCAAACAUCUACUCUAUGUAACAAUCUUGGCUUUUCAAAUCUCUGUAGUCUGAUAUUCCAGAUUGGCCACUACACCAACACAAAGAUGACAAUUUCACCAAUAGAAACGACGAUGUAAAAGAUGGCCUUUCACUCAUCGGCGAAAUAAUCAACUAUCAAUUGGGGUUGCCGCUUUUCUGGUUUCAUCGCCUUUAACUACAACUGAACAUCAAUGAAGAAUUCGGCGUCGUCGUCGUCGUCGUCUCCAUCUACAACUUUACCAGGGAUUCACAAUGAUCAUGUGGAAUUGAUGGCAGCUUCAAGAGUGGACUCUUCAUGCUCUCGAGUAACAAAGAGGCUAAUGAAAAAGAAAAUUUUCGAGCACGCGGGAUGCUGGGCCGACGUUCCGUUAUCCUUAGAUAAUGUUGUUGCAGACUAAGAGAUGAUAAAACUAGGUGUUUCUGAACACAUGAUGUACAACCCUCCAAUCAUAUUGAUACGGUCUCCCUGAAAGUAAGCGGUUUAAAACUGUAAUGUAUUUAUAAAAUUGAAAAAUUUAGGCUUGAACUAGGGUGUAUUCCCUAAAAGCAAUAAAAGAAAGACUGAAAUUCUUUCAGCUCAAACAUCCAAACAAAAUUUAUAGCUCCUACAAAUGCAUCAAUUUUCAAUCAA
Molecule: long non-coding RNA, 883 nt
Organism: Mangifera indica (mango)
Lineage: Eukaryota; Viridiplantae; Streptophyta; Magnoliopsida; Sapindales; Anacardiaceae
Exons: 2
Source: RefSeq, a predicted model, not a curated record